This is a long non-coding RNA of Ziziphus jujuba (common jujube), 393 nucleotides long. RefSeq lists it as uncharacterized. The record is from RefSeq and is a predicted model, not a curated record. Lineage: Eukaryota; Viridiplantae; Streptophyta; Magnoliopsida; Rosales; Rhamnaceae. The transcript has 3 exons.
UCCUUUCUUCGACUUUUCCCCUCCAUCUCUUUAUCCAUAACCAGACCUUAGGAGCCCUCUGUUUCCUUUCAUGAAUCGGCCGGAUUGUAAGUGUGGAGACUGCGCGUUUUGAAGGAGAUGGUGAAGAGGCGACUCAGAGAGAAAACUGCAGGAUUUUAGAGAGCCCUAGGAGCAGAAGCAGAAGCAACAGGCAUUUCUUGCUGAGAGAUAUGUAUGAUGAUAUGAUGCUGGAUGGAGUACAGCCAACUAGGGAUACAUUCCAUUCUGUCAUCAGUUAGUGGAAAGGUGGAUAAGCAAAAUGCUCAUUUCUUUGGUGUUACGAUCAACGAGCAACAAGCCGAGUGUGGUAUUGUAGUAAGAGUUACUUCAAAUGCACAAAGCAAAUUUAAGGUA